AAUCCAUAGGUUAAUGAGGCGAACCGGGGGAACUGAAACAUCUAAGUACCCCGAGGAAAAGAAAUCAACCGAGAUUCCCCCAGUAGCGGCGAGCGAACGGGGAGGAGCCCAGAGCCUGAAUCAGCAUGUGUGUUAGUGGAAGCGUCUGGAAAGGCGCGCGAUACAGGGUGACAGCCCCGUACACAAAAGCGCAUGUGCUGUGAGCUCGAUGAGUAGGGCGGGACACGUGGUAUCCUGUCUGAAUAUGGGGGGACCAUCCUCCAAGGCUAAAUACUCCUGACUGACCGAUAGUGAACCAGUACCGUGAGGGAAAGGCGAAAAGAACCCCGGCGAGGGGAGUGAAAAAGAACCUGAAACCGUGUACGUACAAGCAGUGGGAGCCCCACCACUAAGCCAGUGGUGAACUCCACAUACGCAUCCUUUGCUGAGGAUACGGUUAACGGAGCGAAAGCGACGUUCAACCGCAAAACAAGCAGAGGGGGCUUAGUGGUGGGGUGACUGCGUACCUUUUGUAUAAUGGGUCAGCGACUUAUAUUCUGUAGCAAGGUUAACCG
RNAcentral lists this ribosomal RNA (554 nucleotides) under Salmonella enterica subsp. enterica serovar Anatum. Its description in RNAcentral is "partial 23S ribosomal RNA". It matches the Rfam family "Bacterial large subunit ribosomal RNA", at positions 161 to 652 of the family's 2925-position model. The record is from RNAcentral. RNAcentral also lists the same sequence under 1 other name. Lineage: Bacteria; Pseudomonadati; Pseudomonadota; Gammaproteobacteria; Enterobacterales; Enterobacteriaceae.